ACGAACGCUGGCGGCGUGCUUAACACAUGCAAGUCGAACGGUGAAGCGCCUUCCUUUUUGGUGGGUGUGGAUGAGUGGCGAACGGGUGAGUAACACGUGAGUAACCUGCCCCCUUCUUCUGGAUAACCGCAUGAAAGUGUGGCUAAUACGGGAUAUUCUGGGUCUGUCGCAUGAUGGGUCUGGGAAAGAUAUUGUUUCGGUGGGGGAUGGGCUCGCGGCCUAUCAGCUUGUUGGUGGGGUGAUGGCCUACCAAGGCGGUGACGGGUAGCCGGCCUGAGAGGGUGGACGGUCACACUGGGACUGAGACACGGCCCAGACUCCUACGGGAGGCAGCAGGGGGGAAUAGUGCACAAUGGGCGCAAGCCUGAUGCAGCGACGCCGCGUGAGGGAUGGAGGCCGUCGGGUUGUGAACCUCUUUCGCCAGUGAAGCAGGCCUGCCUCGUUUGUGGGUGGGUUGACGGUAGCUGGAUAAGAAGCGCCGGCUAACUACGUG
RNAcentral lists this ribosomal RNA (493 nucleotides) under uncultured bacterium. RNAcentral describes it as "partial 16S ribosomal RNA". It matches the Rfam family "Bacterial small subunit ribosomal RNA", at positions 29 to 507 of the family's 1533-position model. The record is from RNAcentral.